Molecule: ribosomal RNA, 301 nt
Filed under: uncultured bacterium
Lineage: Bacteria
Description: partial 16S ribosomal RNA
Rfam family: Archaeal small subunit ribosomal RNA
Source: RNAcentral
CAGUAGCCGCGGGAAAACCAGCACCUCGAGUGGUCAGGAGGUUUAUUGGGCCUAAAGCAUCCGUAGCCGGUUGCAUAAGUUUUCGGUUAAAUCUAUGCGCUUAACGUAUAGGCCGCCGAAAAUACUGUGCAGCUAGGGAGUGGGAGAGGUACACGGUACUCGAUAGGAAGGGGUAAAAUCCUUUGAUCUAUUGAUGACCACCUGUGGCGAAGGCGGUGUACCAGAACACGUUCGACGGUGAGGGAUGAAAGCUGGGGGAGCAAACCGGAUUAGAUACCCCCGUAGUCCCUGUCUCUUAUAC